Molecule: long non-coding RNA, 1202 nt
Filed under: Theobroma cacao (cacao)
Lineage: Eukaryota; Viridiplantae; Streptophyta; Magnoliopsida; Malvales; Malvaceae
Description: long non-coding RNA (TCAC_LNC006115)
Source: RNAcentral
GAUUCCUCCUUAUGAUAAAAGAGAAAAAGGCACCGACGUCACACCUAACGAAUAUAAGUCAAAUUUUGGUAAGUAAAUUAUUUUCAACUUUAUGUACUAUUGACAUAUUUGAUAUGUCAGCUAAAUUAGUAGACAUAUACUUUUCUAACUGAGUUACUUCAAUUUUUAUUGUUAAUUGAUUUAUUUUUGUAAAAUCAUAAAUUCUAUGGGGACUCAUUCGGGACAAACUAAAUAAACUUUGACCAAGCGUUUUGUAACAAAAAACGAAUGAGGGAUUUUUACAACAUGAAUGAGAAAAACAUAAAAUGUCUUCUGAUUGUUCUGAUAAACUUUACAAUUAUUUAAUUGCAACUUUAAAUUUUACUAUUAAAUACAAUCCACUCAAAGAUAAAUCAUAUACACAAAUUUAAUACUAAAUACUGUAAUUUCAAAAUAUCAUAUUUUUUAAUUUUACUUAAACUCAUCAUAUGCCAAUCUCUUGAAGUUAAUGUGCAAGCUAUUUAACCUUUUUGGACUUUUUCCAUUAAAAAAACAUUGAUUUAUCUAAAUGUUUGUACUUGCUUUAUUUUUUUUUGAAAAAUAGAAGUAUUAUUCAUUCAAACAGGAAAAGGAAGUCCUGUGAAAACAACCAAACACUUGCAUAAGCAAGCAAUCCAGACAAAUCAAAGCAAAAAGAAAAGAAGCUCACAACAGCGGACCACGAAGCAAAAACAAACAAAUCAACCAAGGUAAAAGAAGAACAAAUGCCUAGAUCACACCAGAAGCAACAUCAAAGGGCCAAGCUCCCAAGGAGCAGAUCAUUCCCAGACAAAACCCAACAGCAGCAAAGCAUGAAGAGAGAGGAAAGAAGAAAUCAGCUGCGCAUCAAAGAUCCAGGAGAGAUUCGUAUCAUCCACACCAGGAGAACACACAGCAAAACUCAACGCAGCAUUAAGCAUUAAUAAUCAGCAUGUCAUUAAGCCUUCCCACCCCCUCUUUAGCAAGUUUGUCUGCAAAGUCAUUCCCAGAUCUAGGAAGAUGUCUUAUGCUCCACCUGCCAACUUUGGAUUUAAGAUAUGUACUUGCUUUAUUAAAUUAUAGUGUAAUGAAUAAAUGCUGGAGGAGAGUUACUCUUCCUUUUUUUGUCGGUUUCCUUUGCCAGAUGGCCGUCUGACCCUUCUUGUAUGUUUUUUUUUCUAGAAUGUUCUGCUGUUAAACUUGUU